GAAUAUUGGUCAAUGGAGGCAACUCUGAACCAGCCAUGCCGCGUGCAGGAAGAAUGUCCUAUGGAUUGUAAACUGCUUUUGUACGGGAAGAAAAAGAGCUACGUGUAGCUUAUUGACGGUACCGUAAGAAUAAGGAUCGGCUAACUCCGUGCCAGCAGCCGCGGUAAUACGGAGGAUCCGAGCGUUAUCCGGAAUCAUUGGGUUUAAAGGGUCCGUAGGCGGUUUUGUAAGUCAGUGGUGAAAUCCGGCAGCUUAACUGUCGAACUGCCAUUGAUACUGCAGGACUUGAAUUACUGUGAAGUAACUAGAAUAUGUAGUGUAGCGGUGAAAUGCUUAGAUAUUACAUGGAAUACCAAUUGCGAAGGCAGGUUACUAACAUUAUAUUGACGCUGAUGGACGAAAGCGUGGGUAGCGAA
RNAcentral lists this ribosomal RNA (416 nucleotides) under uncultured bacterium. RNAcentral's name for it is "bacterial SSU rRNA". It matches the Rfam family "Bacterial small subunit ribosomal RNA", at positions 359 to 772 of the family's 1533-position model. The record is from RNAcentral.